Long non-coding RNA from Mercenaria mercenaria, 7590 nucleotides. RefSeq lists it as uncharacterized. Lineage: Eukaryota; Metazoa; Mollusca; Bivalvia; Venerida; Veneridae. The transcript has 2 exons. The record is from RefSeq and is a predicted model, not a curated record.
UGUGUGGCACAGUAAGACGACAUGUCGCGCGCAAGACCCAGGUCCGUAGGUCAAAGGUCCUAAACUCUAACAUUGGCCAUAACUAUUCAUUCAAAGUGCCAUCGGGGGUGUGUGUCAUCCUAUGGAGACAGCUCUUGUUUCUGCCUAAUACCCACCAGAAAGAAUUUAUCAAAAUUGAAUCAGCUUCUCUCCCUCAGCUUUUUUCAUGGCAUUUUAUAUUUUUUGGACAUGCCAGCUUUUAAAAUAAAAGCUAGGCAGCUUUAGAAGAAGUGUACAUUUCUUUAGAUGUUAAUUUUUCUGUUUAUUAAGCACAUGAUAUCCACAGUUAUAAGUUCCCUGUCAUGGUUUUGUAAACAGUUCAUUGCCACACUUGAAAAAUAAUCUGUAAGAAAUUACAUAUGUUUUGUCACUAGUGCCUGCUGUUCAGUUUGUUGUUUGUCAAGUUUUUUUGUCUCUGCAAUUUUCACCCUACACUUUUCCCUCCAUUCAGCCUCAGUCCUUUUCAAAGUUUCUGAACAUCACCAGUAACCUGAAAAGUGUUUUGGUAGAUCUUUCUUUGAAACACUUGCUACAUGAAUAACAUUGGGUUUCACAUCUUCUCUUAUAUAAACAAACAUAUUCUCCGGGAAGUAAUUUAUCAUGUUGUCUUUUCUUGUACCAAAUUGUACUCCGUGAGAGGCCUUGUGUCUAGAGGAUUUGAAGUAUUUGGACAGUAUGAAGAAGGCUGAGGCUGAAUGAAUACAGGAGGCGGCUUGGUAAAUGAUGUUACUAAGUGGCUUCUCACUCUGCCUGUUCCUGCAGUAAUUGGAGGCAGACAAAACUCAUGUUUGUGGCCUGGUGGAACAGGCGCUUGCUGUAUUGAUGGCAAUUUUUCACAGACUGGCGGCAGUGACCUUGUGGCAGUCAUAGAUGGCUGUGGCAGAAGGAUGCCUUGUUCCAGGAUCUGUAUGCCUUGAACAUCAGUUCUUUUUUUCUUUAGCACACCUGUCACUUCGUGACAAGGUGAGCUAUUGUGACCGCUUGAUGUCCGUAGUGCGUCGUGCGUCGUCCAUCCACAAUUUCUAAAAAAAAUCUUCUUCUUGAAAACCACUGGGCAGAAUUACACCAAACUUUACAGGAAUGAUCCGUGGGUGGCCCCCUUUCAAAAUUGUUCAAAGAAUUGAAUUCCAUGGAGAACUCUGGUUGCCAUGGCAACCGAAAGGAAAAACUUUAAAAAUCUUCUUGUCCAAAACCACAGGGCCUAGGGCUUUGAUAUCUGGUGUGUAGCAUCAUCUAGUGGUCCUCUACCAAGAUUGUUCAAAUUAUCCCCCUAGGGUCAAAUAUGGCCCUGCCCCUGGGGUCACAUGGUUUAUAUAGACUUAUAUAGGGAAAACUUUGAAAAUCUUCUUGUACAAAACCACAUGGCCUAAGGCUUUGAUAUUUGAUAUGUAGCAUCAUCUAGUGGUCCUCUACCCAGACUGUUCAAAUUAUCCCCCUAGGGUCAAAUAUGGCCCCGCCCCGGGGGUCACAUGGUUUAUAUAGACUUAUAUAGGGAAAACUUUGAAAAUCUUCUUGUACAAAACCACAUGGCCUAGGGCUUUGAUAUUUGGUAUGUAACAUCAUCUAGUGGUUCUCUACCAAGAUUGUUCAAAUUAUCCCCCUAGGGUCAAAUUUGGCCCUGCCUGGGGGUCCCAAGUUUUACAUAGACUUAUAUAGGAAAAAAAGUUUAAAAAUCUUCUUGUCUGAAACCACAACACUUAGACCUUUGAUAUUUGGUUUGUAGCAUUGUCUUAUAGUCCUCAACCAAAAUUGUUCAAAUUAUACCUAUUGGGUGAAAAGAGGCCCCGCCCUGGGGGUCCCUAGUUUUAUAUAGACUUAUAUAAGAAAAAGCUUUAAAAAUCUUCUUGUCUGAAACCAUACAACAUAGGCUUUUGAUAUUUGGUAUGAUGCAUUGUCUAGUAGUCCUCUACCAAAAUUGUUCAAAUUAUUCCCCUGGGGUUAAAAGAGGCCUUGCCCUGGGGUCACUUAGUUAUUAUGUGAGUUAUAUAGGAAAAAUGCUUAAAAAAUAAUCUGAUCCUAUUUCCAAGACUGUUUAAUUAUAAUUACCUGAUGUCCCCAAGUAAUAUGAUGUCACUUGACUGUGACAUUGACCUACUGACAUACUUUCUUGUUUUUUAAGAUGCAGCCUUGAAAUUUUGAUGACAUACACAGUUUGCACAUAAAUCGUAAAACUGAAUUUCAUUGACCAUGAAUGUGACCUACUGACUUUCUUAAUAUUUUAUCAUCAGUUUGACAUUUGAAACAUGUAGCUCAUAUUACUCAGAUGAGCAGUCCAGGCCGAUACCAACUUUUUAGCUCACCUGAGGACAAAUUGCUCAUAGUGAUCUAUUGUGAUCACGCUGUGUCUGUCAUCCAUCGAGCUUCUGUCCGUCAAGUCGUCCGUCCAUUUUUAACAAUUGUGUUUAAAAGUCAUCUCCUCCAAAACCAUUGAAUGGAUUUUGAUGAAACUUCGCCAUGAUAUACCUUGGGUGGUUCUCUACCAAAGUUUUUCAAAUGGUUCCGCUUGGUUGCACAUAGGGGCUGCCAGAGCGAAAAAUAGAAAUAACUUCAAACAAUAUCUCCUCCUAAAUUGAUGGUCUGAAUUUGAAAUCAUCUUCAUUCAAAUGGUCCUUAUAUCACCCUCUACCAAGACUGUUCAGAUUAUACUGACUCGUCAAAAAAUAUGGCUUCCAGGGGGCAUGGUCACUUUUCCCUAUAUGUACAUAGUGGAAACUUUAAAAAUCUUCUUAUGUGAAACUGCUAGACGGAUUUUAAAAUAGUUUCACACAAAUUGACCUUGUAUGACCCUCUACCAAGAUUUUCAAAUUAUUCUGAUUUGUCAAAGAACAUGGCCACCAGGGGGUGUGGUCACUUUUCCCUAUAUGUACAUAGUGGAAAUUUAAAACAUCUUUUUGUGUGAAAUUUAAAACAUCUUCUUGUGUGAAACUGCUGCCCCGAUUUUAAUUUUACAGAAAUGGUUCUUGUGUGACCCUCUACCAAGAUUUUUCAAAUUAUUUUGAUUCAUCAAAAAACAUGGCUGCCAGAGGGCAUAAUUAUAAAAGAAAAUUUAAAAAUCUUUUAUGAAGCUCGUGGCCCAAUUUUAAAAUAAUUUAACACAAAUUGUCCUUGUGUGACCCUCUACCAAGACUGUUCAAAUUUUUCCAAUUUGUCAAAAAACGUGGCCGCGAGGGGUGUGUGCUCACUUUCCCCAGUUCGUAUGUAGUGGAAAUUUUAAAAAUCUUCUCAUGAAACUCAUGGCUCAAUUUUAAAAUAAUUUUACACAAAUGGUCCUUGUGUGACGCUUUACCAAGAUUGUUCAAAUUAUUCCGAUUCGUCAAAAAGCAUGGUUGAAAGGAGGCAUGGUCACUUUUCCCUAUAUGUAUAUAGUAAAAACUUAGAAAAUCUUCUUGUAUUAAACUGUUAGCACAAUUUUUAAAAAAAUUCACACAAAUGGUCCUUGUGUGAUCUACAAUAUUGUUCAAUUUUUGUUGUUUUUUUUUCUUUAAAAAAACAUGGCCACCAGAGGGCGUGGUCACUUUUCUUAAACAAUUUCUUCAAACAACAUCUCCAAAACAACUGAAUGGAUUUUGAUGAAACUUUACAGAAAUGAUCUCUGGGUAGCCUUCUUUCAAAGUUGUACAAAUGGUUCUGGUUCAUUAUGGGUCUUUUUGGUUAGAAAUAGGUUUUCAGCUAUCAGACUUUAAAAAUCUUUUUUUCUCUAGAGCAUUGAUAUUUGGCAUGUGAUAUAAGGGUGUGACUCUCUACCAUAAUUGUCCAAAUUAUUGCCCUAAGGUGAAAAAUGGCCAUGCUCCUGUGUGUGAUAUGUACUUACUACCAGCUUAUAAAUAUAAGGAACUUUGAAAAUCUUCUUCUCUGAAUCAGCAGUAUUUAGAGCCUUGAUAUUUGGCAUGUGAUAUCAGUACAGUCUACCAUGAUUGUUCAAAUUAUUGCCCUCAGUUUAAAAAUGUAUGUGACAUGGAUACAAUAUAGGCUAACAUAGAAGAAACCUUAAACUUUGUACUUGUAUCAUUACGUUACACAAGCACACUUGAAGCCUGGUACACAGGUGAGCGCUUUAGGGUCAGUGACCCUCUUGUUUGUAAUCUUUUCCGUUUGCAGGAGAAUCCAAUGACUUCGCAGUUUGUCAGUGUCCCGUCCUUCUUUUUAGAAAUCAUUCGGUCAAACGGUCGCACUCCAUCUACAAAUUGUGAAGAUAGUCGUUCAGUAUCCAUUUCUGCUGUCAUUAAACCCGAGCGACUCAUUUUCUUUUCUUAUGCCGGAAUAAGCAAAAAUGAAUGAUUUUUUAUAAGAAAAUAAUAUAAUCAAAUAAAAAAAAAAAUAUUUUUCCAACACCAGGUACCACUUUUUAACCACCGCUGUGUCUAAUUUGCAGACGAUAAGGAAUCCAUUAUCUACCUUACUUUUCCUCGAAACAUAUCAAAGCAUAUUGUUUUUGCUUUGCUGAAAACACAUUUGCUGGCUGAUUUAAAGCUGAUAUCAACUUUUUAGCUCACCUGAGCAUAAAGUGCUCAUGGUGAGCUAUUGUGAUCAUGCUGUGUCCCUCGUCCCUUAUGCUUCCGUCUGUCAAGUCGUCUGUCUGUCGUUAACGAUUGUGUUUAAACGACAUCUCCUCCAAAACCAUUGAAUGGAUUUUGAUGAAACUUUGCCAUGGAAUUCCUUGGGUGGUUCUCUACCAAAGUUUUUCAAAUGGUUCCGCUUGGUUGCACAUAGGGGCUGCCAGAGCGAAAGAUAGAAAUAACUUCAAACGAUAUCUCCUCCUAAAUCGAUGGUCUGAUUUUGAAAUAAUUUUAUUCAAAUGGUCCUUAUGUCACCCUCUACCAAGACUGUUCAGAUUUUUCCAAUUUGUCAAAAACAUGGCCGCCAGGGGUGUGUGCUAACUUUCCCCAGUUCGUAUAUAGUGGAAAUUUUUAAAAUCUUCUCUGACUCGUCAAAAAAUAUGGCUGCCAGGGGUCAUGGUCACUUUUCCCUAUAUGUACUUAGUGGAAACUUUAAAAAUCUUCUUGUGUGAAACUGCUAGACGGAUUUUAAAAUAGUUUCACACAAACAGUCCUAGUAUGACCCUCUACCAAGAUUUUCAAAUUAUUCUGAUUUGUCAAAGAACAUGGCCACCAGGGGGUGUGGUCACUUUUCCCUAUAUGUACAUAGUGGAGAUUUAAAACAUCUUUUUGUGUGAAAUUUAAAACAUCUUCUUGUGUGAAACUGCUGCCCCUAUUUUAAUUUUACAGAAAUGCUUCUUGUGUGACUCUCUACCAAAAUUGUUCAAAUUAUUUUGAUUCGUCAAAAAACAUGGCUGCCAGAGGGCGUAUAUAAAAGAAAAUUUAAAAAUCUUGUAUGAAACUCGUGACCCGAUUUUAAAAUAAUUUAACACAAAUGGUCCUUAUGUGACCCUCUACCAAGACUCUUCAAAUUUUUCCAGUUUGUCAAAAAACAUUGCCGCCAGGGGGGUGUGCUCACUUUCCCAAGUUCGUAUAUAGUGGAAAUUUUAAAAAUCUUCUCGUGUGAAACUCAUGGCCCAAUUUUAAAAUAAUUUUACACAAAUGGUCCUUGUGUGACCCUCUACCAAGAUUAUUCGAAUUAUUUUGAUUUAUCAAAAAAUGUGGCCACCAGAGGGCAUGGUUACUUUUCUCUGUAUGUAUAUAGUGGAAACAUUAAAAAUCUUCUUGUGUGAAUAUGCUAGCCUGAUUUUAAAAUAAUUUUACACAAAUGGUCCUUGUGUGACGCUUUACCAAGAUUGUUCAAAUUAUUCCGAUUCGUCAAAAAACGUGGUUGCAAGGAGGCAUGGUCACUUUUCCCAAUAUAUAUAUAGUAAAAUCUUCUUGUAUUAAACUGUUAGCACAAUUUUAAAAUGAUUUCACACAAAUGGUCCUUGUGUGAUCUACAAUAUUGUUCAGUUUUUGUUUAUUCUUUAAAAAACAUGGCCACCAGAGGGCGUAGUCACUUUCCUUCAACAAUUUCUUUAAACAACAUCUCCAAAACAACUGAAUGGAUUUUGAUGAAACUUUACAGAAAUGAUCUCUGGGUAGCCUUCUUUCAAAGUUGUACAAAUGGUUCUGGUUCAUUGAACAUAUGUGUCUUUUUGGUUAGAAAUGCGUUUUCAGCUAUCAGACUUUUUCUCUAGAGCAUUAAUUAAUUGAUAUUUGGCAUGUGAUAUAAGGGUGUGACUCUCUACUUUGUACUUGUAUCAUUACGUUACACAAGCACACUUGAAGCCUUGUACACAGGUGAGCGCUUUAGGGUCAAUGACUCUCUUGUUUGUAAUCUUUUCCAUUUGGAGGAGAAUCCAAUGACUUCGCAGUUUGUCAGUGUCCCCUCCUCCUUUUUAGAAAUCAUUCGGUCAAAAGUUCGCACUCCGUCAACAAAUUGUGGAGAUAGUCAUUCAGUAUCCAUUUCUGCUGUCAUUAAACCCGAGUGACUCAUUUUCUUGUCUUAUGCCGGAAUAAGCAAAAAUGAAUGAUUUUUGUCGUUUAAAAGGAAGCAGCAUUCAAAAUACGUCUAAUACAUUAUGGGUGGGUGGGGUAUUGCGCAAUCGGCAUAUACGGCCAACCCUCCUUAUAAAUUUAACCCCGCUAGAUCUGCGGGUCUCGAACAAAUUUCACCAUCUUUCUUUUCCAAACAGAAAUUUUUUUGUUGACAAUUUAUCAACACCAUGUCAAAUUCUGAAACUGAUUGAUUUUGCAGUACACAAGGGCAUUUAAUUUCCAAGAACCCUUCCAAUCUCUUUCCUUGGAUCAUACACAAAGCCAUCUGGGCUUGCCUCGAUUCCAACACGUUCAGAAUUAAUCCAAAAGCCUGUCGAAGACACCUAAAAAAAUUUCACCUUUGACUCCAUUUUGCACUUGUACUCUUCAAACACAUUUUGCUCUUUUUCAGAUCCAUAUCUCAUUGAUUGAGUCUGGAUUUGACUAAACCAUAGUUUUGUCUUUGAAAUGUUAUACACAGAAUGUCUUGAGUGGGCAGAUGCAAUCUUUUUGUUUUCAGAAGCCGUUACUCUUACUCUUCUCUCAUUAAACCAUCGUCUGUGUUCUGCUUAUUUGUUCCUUCAUUUGCAGCAGCAGGAUCUGGGCAGCAAUGUUGUGUAAUAACUUUUUUUCGGCUAGCACUGAAGCACCAUCCUGAUGUUCAUAAUCACUAUACUCACGAAAAAGAAAUGUCUGCCACAUUGUUGGCUGCAAGCUCCCACAUUCAAGUGCAGAUAAGAAGGCUGUAAGGGCUUGUUCUCUUCAUCGGGGUUUAAGCAUGGGUGUUGAAUUGAGGCCAAUGAUGUUGUCUACCUUACUUUUUUGCACUGGAGUAGCUGGCAUUGCUUACACUAUGGGGAUCCUUUUUCCUUUUCCGACCUUUAUUCCAAUUACAGGGUUUAGAUGUGCAUGAAGCGGAAUCAGUACCAUAUUUUUCAAUAUAGUCCCUAAGGGCAAACAGAGGACCAGUUAUAUGUGCACACGGUCCCAUUGACCUAGCUGCACAUGUACAUGAGGCAUCCUUUACAAAUCCACUUUCAACAUUUAUCUGUACCAAUGUUUUGUAUUCAGUUUUUGUGUUAUAAUUACAUGA